This 253-nucleotide ribosomal RNA is filed under the name uncultured bacterium. RNAcentral describes it as "partial 16S ribosomal RNA". It matches the Rfam family "Bacterial small subunit ribosomal RNA", at positions 524 to 776 of the family's 1533-position model. The record is from RNAcentral.
UACGUAGGGUGCAAGCGUUGUCCGGCAUUAUUGGGCGUAAAGAGCUCGUAGGCGGUCUGUCGCGUCGGCUGUGAAAACCCGGGGCUCAACCCCGGGCCUGCAGUCGAUAUGGGCAGACUAGAGUGCGGUAGGGGAGACUGGAAUUCCUGGUGUAGCGGUGAAAUGCGCAGAUAUCAGGAGGAACACCGGUGGCGAAGGCGGGUCUCUGGGCCGUAACUGACGCUGAGGAGCGAAAGCGUGGGGAGCGAACAGG